RNAcentral lists this transfer RNA (94 nucleotides) under Alphaproteobacteria bacterium. RNAcentral describes it as "tRNA-Sec". It matches the Rfam family "Selenocysteine transfer RNA". The record is from RNAcentral. Lineage: Bacteria; Pseudomonadati; Pseudomonadota; Alphaproteobacteria.
GGAAGAGAAUCGGCCCCGGUGGGCCGGCCGGCCUUCAAAGCCGGUGGGGGCUGCCCUGCGGUCCCGGGUGGGUUCGACUCCCGCUCUCUUCCGC